CAGUCGCGGGUUUUAUUCCCAUUCGGGAUGGAUAUGCGCACAGUAAAAAUAGCGUAAAAAUGAAAAACAUUCAGAGACAUUCUUAAUUGAGAAAAUUUCUGGGUGAGAGUGAGUGGAGGUGAGAUGAACACUUACCUUGUAGCAGUCCCAUCUGUAAGCGCUGGAUUGCAGCGAGGAGACCAGCAACAUCAGCGUUUUGAAAAUGAAUUGCAGUGGGUGUCAUCAAGAAAGUCCACAAUGGCAGCGUUACUAAUGACCACACUCCAAGGGGUAAUAGAAAGGUCCCAGGAGAGGCAAAACUAGUAGUCAGUAAGUGUAUGUGGCUAUAUAGGUCUGUGUAGGUACUCCUAAUCAAUAUUAAUUCCAUCCACUAUAGAUUUUAUAAAUCGUGUUAUUUUACAUUCGAACUAGUUGCUGCCCGCGACGCCGUCUGCGUGAACGCUAUACAGCACCAAAAAUACCUACGAUUAUACCUUUUAAAAUACCGUAAAACCGUACGACUUUGCCCAGAUUUCUUGCAAAUUUGAAUUCAACUUUAGAUAUUUUUUUUAAAUAAUACUAUUUCUAAUGUGUUAUUGCGCUACAUAAUUGGUAAAUGUAGUGUUCUUU
Molecule: unclassified non-coding RNA, 609 nt
Filed under: Melitaea cinxia (Glanville fritillary)
Lineage: Eukaryota; Metazoa; Arthropoda; Insecta; Lepidoptera; Nymphalidae
Description: misc RNA ENSMCXG00005000923.1
Source: RNAcentral